RNAcentral lists this ribosomal RNA (1039 nucleotides) under Klebsiella variicola. RNAcentral's name for it is "bacterial SSU rRNA". The stretch from base 411 to 1039 matches the Rfam family "Bacterial small subunit ribosomal RNA", at positions 875 to 1520 of the family's 1533-position model. The record is from RNAcentral. Lineage: Bacteria; Pseudomonadati; Pseudomonadota; Gammaproteobacteria; Enterobacterales; Enterobacteriaceae.
UUAAGGUUAAAAGAGAUUCAUUCGAUGGGGCUAUAGCUCAGCUGGGAGAGCGCCUGCUUUGCACGCAGGAGGUCUGCGGUUCGAUCCCGCAUAGCUCCACCAUCUUUACUGCAAACACAAGAAAACUUCAGAGUGAACCUGAAAAGGUGCACUGCGAAGUUUUGAUCUUUAAAAAUCUGGAUCAAGCUGAAAAUUGAAACGACACACAGUUAAUGUGUGUUCGAGUCUCUCAAAUUUUCGCGACACGAUGAUGUUUUACGAAACAUCUUCGGGUUGUGAGGUUAAGCGACUAAGCGUACACGGUGGAUGCCCUGGCAGUCAGAGGCGAUGAAGGACGUGCUAAUCUGCGAAAAGCGUCGGUAAGGUGAUAUGAACCGUUACAGCCGGCGAUGUCCGAAUGGGGAAACCCAGUGCAAUUCGUUGCACUAUCGUUAACUGAAUACAUAGGUUAACGAGGCGAACCGGGGGAACUGAAACAUCUAAGUACCCCGAGGAAAAGAAAUCAACCGAGAUUCCCCCAGUAGCGGCGAGCGAACGGGGAGCAGCCCAGAGUNCAGGUGCUGCAUGGCUGUCGUCAGCUCGUGUUGUGAAAUGUUGGGUUAAGUCCCGCAACGAGCGCAACCCUUAUCCUUUGUUGCCAGCGGUCCGGCCGGGAACUCAAAGGAGACUGCCAGUGAUAAACUGGAGGAAGGUGGGGAUGACGUCAAGUCAUCAUGGCCCUUACGACCAGGGCUACACACGUGCUACAAUGGCAUAUACAAAGAGAAGCGACCUCGCGAGAGCAAGCGGACCUCAUAAAGUAUGUCGUAGUCCGGAUUGGAGUCUGCAACUCGACUCCAUGAAGUCGGAAUCGCUAGUAAUCGUAGAUCAGAAUGCUACGGUGAAUACGUUCCCGGGCCUUGUACACACCGCCCGUCACACCAUGGGAGUGGGUUGCAAAAGAAGUAGGUAGCUUAACCUUCGGGAGGGCGCUUACCACUUUGUGAUUCAUGACUGGGGUGAAGUCGUAACAAGGUAACCGUAGGGGAACCUGCGGUUG